Molecule: long non-coding RNA, 1403 nt
Filed under: Oryza brachyantha (malo sina)
Lineage: Eukaryota; Viridiplantae; Streptophyta; Magnoliopsida; Poales; Poaceae
Description: long non-coding RNA (OBRA_LNC000753)
Source: RNAcentral
CUGGCAACAUGGGCUUUGUGUUGCCUACUUGUCUACUUGCCUGUGUGAUACGGAUGCGAGUGUUUUUACAUAAGCUCGGUGCUAAAGUAAGUAUUAUAACACGUCUUUUAACACAAAUUUCAAGGUAUUCUAUAGGAUUAGACGUAGAGGAGAGAAGAGAAGAGAGAGGAACCCCUCAUACAAGAGGCAACCUCUAUGUAAUCUCUAAGAGAUAAAAAUUUGACUAAUUAAUAGUUAAAAUUAGUACACUACAGUCGGUAUAGAGGUGUCAUGUUGUAUUGUAUACAUCAUCUAUUAAUUAAUAAAUUAUUUAUAUAGACAAAAUAUCCACUUCUAUUAUAAAACUUGCUUUAAGUCUAACUACCUGAACAAGAUCCUUUAUACAAUUAUACAUAGCGACACUAUCUAGGGCGAUGUUGUUUUACAGUUUUUUUUCGGUUGUUGCACGACUGCUUCAUAUAAAAGAAAAGGCUUUCAAACAAAAGUUCAUCUCAUAGUUUUUUUUCAGCUUUAUAUUUGUUAAUUUCAUCAUUUACAUCGCUAUCACAAAUCAUAGAAUAUUUCGUAUUCAUCCAUCAAAAAAUAAAAACGCACCCUAGUCACCGAACAUUCCUAGAUUAUGCUCCAGUUUACGAACUGUGUCACAUUGGCCAAUUGAGCCAUGAUGUAUACAUGUCUAUAGCGGACAUAUAAGCAACAGACACCUGCAGAGCAUUGAGCUCUACUGGGCAGUCAUUUGUACUAAUAGAGUGCUAGAUAAGGGUGUAAGUGGUCUGAUCCGCCGACUACUUAUAAGCUAAUUAAAUGGUAGGCCACUUGUAUCCCUAGUAGUGCUAGACCAACUGGACCAAAGAUUGAUCAUAUAGGAUAAUGGAAUUUCGGUCCUUGGGGCUCGACUUUAACACGUUUGUUCCCAUAGGACUCCAUGACUGCACAAUAAAAUUUUCCUCGAAGCAAUGUUUUAUCCUCUACAAAAAGUGUUAAUACUUGUCGCAUAUUUUACCCCUUUGUAGUACUCGCUCAGUUCCAAAAUAUAAUUGUAUUUGUAGUUCAUAAAAUAUAGCUAGCUUAAAGAAAUAAAAACAAUAAGCUACCAUCCUGUUGACAUUCUAUCUAAAUCUCAUAUAUGUCGGACAGUAAAAACAUGUUACUACAAUGUAUGAGAUGGUAUGCACCACAGCUACACCAGACACGUUUAUGCUUGGUUACUUACAGAAAUGAAUGAGGUGGUGGUAUGUACAAUCCAACGAGCACCAGUCCAGAACUUAAGCAACAGGCAAGACUUCAGGCCCAUCGUAGCAGUCAUUUUCCAGGUCUCCAGGAAGAUCGGCAGCCAAUGGUUUCAACUAAAGAGCAGAAGUUUGGCUAGCUGUAUCUCUGUAUGUCAAAUUAGCUGACAUAUA